GAUGAACGCUAGCGGCAGGCCUAACACAUGCAAGUCGAGGGGUAACAUAGAGUGCUUGCACUUUGAUGACGACCGGCGCACGGGUGAGUAACGCGUAUACAAUCUGCCUCAUACUAGGGGAUAGCCCAGAGAAAUUUGGAUUAAUACCCUAUAGUAUCAUUUAGAGUCAUCUCUUUAUGAUUAAAGGUUACGGUAUGAGAUGAGUAUGCGUUCUAUUAGUUAGUAGGUGAGGUAACGGCUCACCUAGACCACGAUAGAUAGGGGCCCUGAGAGGGGGAUCCCCCACACUGGUACUGAGACACGGACCAGACUCCUACGGGAGGCAGCAGUGAGGAAUAUUAGACAAUGGGCGAAAGCCUGAUCUAGCCAUGCUGCGUGCAGGAUGACGGCCCUAUGGGUUGUAAACUGCUUUUAUACAGGAAGAAAAAACUCUACGUGUAGAGUCUUGACGGUGCUGUAAGAAUAAGGAUCGGCUAACUCCGUGCCAGCAGCCGCGGUAAUACGGAGGAUCCAAGCGUUAUCCGGAAUUAUUGGGUUUAAAGGGUCCGUAGGUGGACAAUUAAGUCAGAGGUGAAAUCCUGCAGCUCAACUGUAGAAUUGCCUUUGAAACUGGUUGUCUUGAGUCAUUAUGAAGUGGUUAGAAUGUGUAGUGUAGCGGUGAAAUGCAUAGAUAUUACACAGAAUACCAAUUGCGAAGGCAGAUCACUAAUAAUGUACUGACACUGAUGGACGAAAGCGUGGGUAGCGAACAGGAUUAGAUACCCUGGUAGUCCACGCCGUAAACGAUGGUCACUAGCUGUUCGGACUUCGGUCUGAGUGGCUAAGCGAAAGUGAUAAGUGACCCACCU
Molecule: ribosomal RNA, 848 nt
Filed under: uncultured bacterium
Lineage: Bacteria
Description: bacterial SSU rRNA
Rfam family: Bacterial small subunit ribosomal RNA
Source: RNAcentral